ACUUUUGAGGUAUGAACAUUUAGAAGCCGAAGACCAUGGCGGCAUAGGUACACAGUGCCAACGUUGCCUCCGUCGAUGCGGCGCAGCAGCCUAGUGUCACGCGGUCUCAACGGCGCCGCGGCCGGCGCCGACGCCACGUGGAUGGUCACCCACGCCAUCGACGAGGUCAGAGCAGCAGUAGCCGCCAUGGGUAGCGCGCAGAUGUGGAGCAGUCGAAUGAGAAAGACGGGCUGGAGCACCACAGCAGGUUGGUGUUGCUGCUGGCCAGCAGCCGCUCC
This 278-nucleotide long non-coding RNA is filed under the name Zea mays. Its description in RNAcentral is "long non-coding RNA NONZMAT003123". Lineage: Eukaryota; Viridiplantae; Streptophyta; Magnoliopsida; Poales; Poaceae. The record is from RNAcentral.